CCACAAUGGCCAGGAAACCAGAAAUAUUGUGCUCGCUAUAUUGAAAUGAUGCAGUAAAAGCAAACCAUAUCCAUAAUUUUCCAAGAGAAAGGAGAAGACGUGUACCUCCCUGAACCCAACAGGAAAGGUCAAGGAUAAACAGCAUGAUGCAUGAAGUUCCUUUGUGCUCAACAUGUUCAGGUGUCUUUGGUUUAUGGCCAGAGUAAUGAAUAAAGAAAUAGCCUUUGUAGCCAUCUUCUGACCUGGAAUAACUUCAGAUGUCAUUCUUAUUAAUGUAAAAUUUAAUCUUUAUCUGAACCCUACUGAACCACAUUUCUAUAGAUUUUCCCAUGACAGAGAAGUCAACAGGUAACUUCGGCAAAGCCAGAACUGCAUGUGGGUACUGCUCAGCUGUGAAUGGAGAGAUGAGAAUGCAGUAAAUGCCACACUCAAGGUCUGCCCAGCCCUAGUUCCCCAAACAUUAAGGCUCCAAGCAUACUAUCUCCAUUGAUGGGAGGUCAUUGAUUAUAUCAGUGUGGUUUUCUCACACCUUCUCUUCUGCAAGUACUGAUGGUCUGGAGCAAAGAAGAACGACUUUCUCAUCUGAUUAUACAGUCACAACUGCUCCCUGUGCCUCUCUGAUCUACAGACACUUCUGCCAAGGUGCCUACAUAACAGAAUAAUCCCUAAAUUCUCUACAUGUGAAGAUUAACCAACUGGCCAAAUGGAUAAGUAAUAUAAUAGAUAUAAUGAACUAUGGGAAGGGAGAUACUUGGAUAACUAACUGUGAUGUGAGAGGAAAGAUUUUCUGCUUUCAUGCAUUAGUAAGCAUUUCUGAAUAUUGAAUGAGAUCAUGUCCCUGAAAAGGCUGCGUAUUCCCCUCCCUGCUGCUACCUGUUUCUCUCCCUGAAAACACAGAAGAUUUUUGGACAAAAGAAAUAAGUAGAGCUCCUCUCCUGUUUUAUGUUAUGUGGGGCAGCUGACUCAGGUCACGAAAUACUAACUUUGUCAUUAGUAUGGCACUGCUUCCUAAGCCACAGUAAUUCCUUCUGCUACCCAUAAGCUUCUUUAUGCAUGACCUGUCCUCAAGCUUUCAAUCCCCAGAGAAAUUUUCCAUCACAGCACUUCCAUGUAAGAUGGAAAAAUUCUUCUAAAUCUUACCAUAACAUUAUUUCACUAGGUAUUCUAUUUUAAUACUUUAUUUUUCCAGCACUGUCAAGCAUUUAUGUCAAGUCUCUUGGUAAUAUCAUUAUCCCUAGUAGGAACCUACUAGCUCAUGAAUCUCAGUGGUACCCCUUACCACACACCAUCAUAACACUGAUGCUGCAUACCACACUCUGAAUAUUUCACUCUGCAGCAAAUGUCAGCAAUAGCCCAUUGUCUACGUAUAUUUACUACAUUAAGAAUUUUAGAUUGAAUAACUAAAAAAAGAAGGCACUAUGUUCUAUGUAUACACAUCCAAAGCUCCCUACUGACUUCUCAAACUUUUCUAGCAUUUGAAAUAGAUUUUGGACCUCUUUCCCAGUCAGAAGUAAAAUCAUCUAACUCUGUCCUCACUUCAUGUUACUGCAUUUACUCUCAACUUAAACCAUUAAGAUUCAUUAGAAGAGAAGGUCGGUACAUGUCUUUUAGAUAUACUCUUUUGCUGGAGCAGAGGUUGAAAUGUUCCCUGCUCUGCUCAGUUUUAUAUUUAAUCCUUGUUAAAAUGGCUCUUAGCCAAGAAGGCACUAAUACAAGCCAUCAGAGACUAUACAUUUCUGUCUUCAUUACAAUCAAUCCUCUUUUUGCUGUUUUCUCCCUCUAGCCUUGCUUAUAUACUUUAAAGGCUUUUUUUUAAAAAAAAAAUUCAAAGUACUUUAUAAACAUGAAUGAAUAAAUGACUCAUUUCUGUAUUCCGUGAAGUACAAGGAUUCUUUAGGAUUCUUUCAAUAGUGCACAAUAAAAUAAAGCACCAUAUAAUAUAAUAUAAAACAGCAUCAUUCUGAUCUGAAAAAAAGCAGAAUAAUCUAUAUUGAAGACCACAAAGACAAACAAGGGCUGAUAUCUCCACAGAAAACAUGCAUUUUCAAGCAGUCAAAGUCAGCCUCCUGUGCCCCAGACGUGACAUGGAUUGGCUAAUACUAUUUCAUAAGAAGUUUUACUCCCAUACUAUUUCUUCUCUGUACUAUUGUAUUCUGAUUCAUUGUCUGGCUCUUAUUUAUUAGACUGUUAAAAUAGAAGCUACCUGCAGAAAGACAAGUUUUCUGUUAUUUUUUUUCUUUUAACAGAACUCACUGUUGUUCAAUGAUAUUCAUCCGUACAGAUAAAAGAUUGAAGUUCCAAAAGAGUACAAGUAACUUUUGCUGUUAAUGUGGCUGUUUUCUUAAUUUCUUCAAGCAUGAUUUGGAUACAUGUGUUCUGACUUUAAAUCUAUCUGGUUCCCUACCAUAGUUUCAAAAAGAAAGAAAAUCAGUAUAAAUUAAGGAACUUGUGCAUUAUUCCAAAGAAGACAAAGAUGUUUUGAAGACAUCAUUUUGUGUUUGAUCUAACACAAAUAGUGAAUUAUUUCCAAUGCUGGGAAGCCUCAAUGGAAACUAUUGUGAGGUUUAUCAUAGAACUCCUACAUUUCAGAUGGCCCAGAUGCACACAACGUACCUGAUUAUUUUCU
Dromaius novaehollandiae (emu) is the source of this 2626-nucleotide long non-coding RNA. RefSeq lists it as uncharacterized. NCBI's taxonomy places the organism in Eukaryota, Metazoa, Chordata, Aves, Casuariiformes, Dromaiidae. The transcript is spliced from 4 exons. The record is from RefSeq and is a predicted model, not a curated record.